This 500-nucleotide ribosomal RNA is filed under the name uncultured bacterium. Its description in RNAcentral is "partial 16S ribosomal RNA". It matches the Rfam family "Bacterial small subunit ribosomal RNA", at positions 30 to 523 of the family's 1533-position model. The record is from RNAcentral.
AUUGAACGCUGGCGGCAUGCCUUACACAUGCAAGUCGAACGGCAGCACGGGAGCAAUCCUGGUGGCGAGUGGCGAACGGGUGAGUAAAGUAUCGGAACGUGCCCAGUCGUGGGGGAUAACGUAGCGAAAGUUACGCUAAUACCGCAUACGAUCUAUGGAUGAAAGCGGGGGAUCGCAAGACCUCGCGCGAUUGGAGCGGCCGAUAUCAGAUUAGGUAGUUGGCGGGGUAAAGGCUCACCAAGCCGACGAUCUGUAGCUGGUCUGAGAGGACGACCAGCCACACUGGGACUGAGGCACGGCCCAGACUCCUACGGGAGGCAGCAGUGGGGAAUUUUGGACAAUGGGCGAAAGCCUGAUCCAGCCAUGCCGCGUGCAGGAUGAAGGCCUUCGGGUUGUAAACUGCUUUUGUACGGAACGAAAAGGUUUGGCCUAAUCAGCUGAGCUCAUGACGGUACCGUAAGAAUAAGCACCGGCUAACUACGUGCCAGCAGCCGCGGUAA